RNAcentral lists this ribosomal RNA (253 nucleotides) under uncultured bacterium. RNAcentral's name for it is "partial 16S ribosomal RNA". It matches the Rfam family "Bacterial small subunit ribosomal RNA", at positions 524 to 776 of the family's 1533-position model. The record is from RNAcentral.
UACAUAGGUGGCAAGCGUUAUCCGGAAUUAUUGGGCGUAAAGCGCGCGCAGGCGGUUUCUUAAGUCUGAUGUGAAAGCCCACGGCUCAACCGUGGAGGGUCAUUGGAAACUGGGGAACUUGAGUGCAGAAGAGAAAAGCGGAAUUCCACGUGUAGCGGUGAAAUGCGUAGAGAUGUGGAGGAACACCAGUGGCGAAGGCGGCUUUUUGGUCUGUAACUGACGCUGAGGCGCGAAAGCGUGGGGAGCAAACAGG